CUGAGGAUUGAACCCAGGGCCUUGUGCAUGCUAGGCAAGCACUCUACCAACUCAGGUAUAUCCCCAGCCCUGUCUAGAACUUUUGAUACACAGCCACAACUUCUGACAAUAUGUGAGAUACAUGAGAUCUGCUAUAACUGGUAGGAAACUGAUACUUCUCUAUGAGCAAGGCCAGUGCUACCCAAGUGGAGUAGUUGACAUGAGCUUGACAUGACCACAUGCACCAUGCCACAAGGAAAGAUUUAUAAGAAAAAUGCCACAGAAACAAGGGAAAGAUCCCAAGUUCUAUGUGAGUCCUUACCUUUUCCCUCUGAAAGUAGAGGGGAAAUAACUAGGAAGAUGGUGUGGAGUCCCGGGGUGCAGGAGGAGCUCACUUUUGUUGAAUUUCGAGGAUUAACAAGGAUUGGUACAUGUGGCCAGAAAUGGCAAUAUAGGCAACUGUUCUAAUUUUCAAAAAGAAGGGAACAAUGAAUUCUGGAAAUGGAAAUGUAAGAUGUAUGAGCUAAUACCACUAAAUCAAUUGACAGCUGAUUGACACCAUAUCUUGCUAAAGUAAUGGAUCUGAUAGCAACCUGAAGGGAUUUAUAGAAUAGUAAGCUCUGGAGUUCCAGUUUGGGAUGAAAAUGUGUACAGACCAUUUCUUACUCAACUAUACAUCCCUUCCCCAUAUUUAGGAUGUUUCUGGAACAGAACUGGCACUUGGAAAAUGUUUGUUGAAUAAAUUAAUUGUUGGUUGAACAAAAGAAUGA
This 749-nucleotide long non-coding RNA is filed under the name Marmota monax (woodchuck). Lineage: Eukaryota; Metazoa; Chordata; Mammalia; Rodentia; Sciuridae. The record is from RNAcentral.